CCUGGCUUAGGAUGAACGCUAGCUACAGGCUAACACAUGCAAGUCGAGGGGCAGCAUGAUCAAAGCUUGCUUGAUGAUGGCGACCGGCGCACGGGUGAGUAACGCGUAUCCAACCUUCCCCAUAGUAGAGGAUAGCCCGGCGAAAGUCGGAUUAAUACUCUAUGUUGUACAACGAGGACAUCUGAAUUGUACCAAAGAUUUAUCGCUAUGGGAUGGGGAUGCGUCUGAUUAGGUAGUCGGCGGGGUAACGGCCCACCGAGCCGACGAUCAGUAGGGGUUCUGAGAGGAAGGUCCUCCACAUUGGUACUGAGACACGGACCAAACUCCUACGGGAGGCAGCAGUGAGGAAUAUUGGUCAAUGGACGAGAGUCUGAACCAGCCAAGUAGCGUGCAGGAAUGACUGCCCUAUGGGUUGUAAACUGCUUUUAUGCGGGAAUAAAGUCAGGUACGCGUACCUGUUUGUAUGUACCGCAUGAAUAAGGACCGGCUAAUUCCGUGCCAGCCGCUGC
RNAcentral lists this ribosomal RNA (509 nucleotides) under uncultured bacterium. RNAcentral describes it as "bacterial SSU rRNA". It matches the Rfam family "Bacterial small subunit ribosomal RNA", at positions 18 to 518 of the family's 1533-position model. The record is from RNAcentral.